This 74-nucleotide small nucleolar RNA is filed under the name Fundulus heteroclitus (mummichog). RNAcentral's name for it is "Small nucleolar RNA SNORD24 (ENSFHEG00000002235.1)". It matches the Rfam family "Small nucleolar RNA SNORD24". Rfam says of the family: U24 is a member of the C/D class of snoRNA which contain the C (UGAUGA) and D (CUGA) box motifs. C/D box snoRNAs have been shown to act as methylation guides for a number of RNA targets. U24 is encoded within an intron of the gene for ribosomal protein L7a in mammals, chicken and Fugu. Lineage: Eukaryota; Metazoa; Chordata; Actinopteri; Cyprinodontiformes; Fundulidae. The record is from RNAcentral.
CGCAGAUGAUGUAAAAGGAUAUUUGCUAUCUUAACAUCCUUGACGACAACCUUUCCACCAAGAUCGCUGAUGCG